AAUGCACCAUAUUGUAAGUCGCUCUGGAUAAGAGCGUCUGCUAAAUGACUUAAA
Salmo salar (Atlantic salmon) is the source of this 54-nucleotide non-coding RNA. The record is from Rfam. Lineage: Eukaryota; Metazoa; Chordata; Actinopteri; Salmoniformes; Salmonidae.